Molecule: long non-coding RNA, 1765 nt
Filed under: Ananas comosus (pineapple)
Lineage: Eukaryota; Viridiplantae; Streptophyta; Magnoliopsida; Poales; Bromeliaceae
Description: long non-coding RNA (ACOM_LNC042202)
Source: RNAcentral
UCAUAAUGAAUACUCAAAGUCAAACCUGGAGAGACCCACCCGAAGGCUGUCUAUGGCCCUGAGACCCACCCGUAGGCUGUCUGGCCGAUGCCGUGCCUAAUGGCCCCGUGGUAGUCAUCAUCCCCACCCUAGGAAUGAGCCUGGCCCACGGCAAUCCACUUCGGCGCCCAAUCCCGCACGGCGAAUAUGAAUCGCGAUGGCUAUCUCCGGAGUGCCAGCUUGUAGGGAGCGACCCUCACAAGCAUGUGCGAAUGAGCACGAUGGCAAGUAAUCAAAUGAUCUGUCGCAAGUACCAAGUCCUCAUGUCUAAUAACAUGGAAUGUGUCAAGUAUCUCAAUGGCCUAUCCCUAUGUCAUCAUGUCUCUAACAUGGAAUAUAGCAGAUAUGUAGUGGCCAAUCAGUAUGUCUCUAUGUUGCAGUUUCAUAGUUUACUAGUUUCAAGUGCUUCUUGAUGACACUUUAGGCUACUAAGUCCAAACAUAGUAUAAUGUUUCCAAUACACGAAUAUGAGCUAAAUUAGCAUACUAGACGAGAAUCCCAUUCGUCCACAUGAACACCCCUCACAUGCAUGAAAAUAACCCCGAUUACUCUACUAUGUAGAGUGAAAUUUAACUUACACAUAGGGCAUACAUUUUAAGUGUUCUAAAAUUCACAUAAAUUCCAAUUAGCAUAGAAAUGCAUUCAAAAAUACUUUACGAAGAGUUUAGAAAGCAUAGGGGCCAUUUCACCCCGUUUUCAUGAAGUCAAACCCACCGUCGUCAACGAAAGCUUUCGUUUGCCACGACGAAGGCGUCCACCACACUCCUAGUACCCUAAAGGUAUGAGAACAAGAGUCAUCUAGUCGAAACGAACGACGCUAAGUUCAAUCUUUAAGCUAUUCAAGCAUAGGUGGAGGAAAACUCACCUCAAGUGCAAAAAUCUCCUCUAAAGCUCCAAAAGAGAGCUAGAGUCCAUCCAAUCCCACCUAAUGGAAGCCUCUAAACCAAUCAAUCUAGCUCCAAAAGCCCUAGCUUCAAAAUACCCAAAAAUAACCCUAAUAUUACAAUCUAGGGUUUCAUCUCAAAUCCAUCAAUAAAGCUCAAGUCUAGAGGGAGAGAACAAGUCACUUACCUCUAAGAAGCUUCAAACCAAGCUCCAAAAUCCUCAAAGUGUGGAGAUCUCCCUCUUCCCAAGCUCCAAGGUCAAGCUCCAAUGGAGGAAAAGUUUCCAACAAGCAAAAAGAGCAAAAAGAGGGUUUAAUCCUCCAAAAUCCAAGAGAAUGGGAUCAAAUCCAAGGGGGAAGGAGAAGAGGGGUGCCCUACCUUGCCCUCUCUGUGAUCUGAGCUCAGGAGAAGCCCUAAGGGGCGUGGGGUACUAAAUAGAAGGCUACAAUUGCGAAAACCCCCUGCAGUUCAAACUGCUCAGAUUCUGCCAAAGUGUACCGGUACACGGGAAAGUGUACCGGUACAAAUCCUACGAAAAUGCAAACCCGAGGCUCGGGUUUGAAAUUCGCCACAAGUGUACCGGUACAGCCAUCAAAAGUGUACCGGUACAAAAUGUGUACCGGUAUAGCCAUCGACCUGUCACCGGUUACACCUCGUGCAGAAUGCAAUCCGAGGGUAGGCUAAGUCCAACUCUUUGGUGACCUUAGCGCUACAUAUAAUACCACAAUUCUCGGGAUACGAGCCAUGGGUCGGAACACAGUCAACGACCCACCAGAAAGUCUGGAAAAACUCGGGACACUAUCCAAACACUCGAACCUCGCAAUUUGCAAAGGUCCAGUGNN